Molecule: non-coding RNA, 637 nt
Organism: Mauremys reevesii (Reeves's turtle)
Lineage: Eukaryota; Metazoa; Chordata; Testudines; Geoemydidae
Source: the annotation of a RefSeq genome assembly
UCCGCAGCCUCUGUCUCUGGGCACUCACCAGACAACCAUCCUGAGAACUGUCCUCUCCAAACACGGGACAAUGAGGCUUUGGUUGUAUCUCGUUCUCAUUGCAGCAGCGUUUGAAGGUGUCCGGUCCCAGGUGCAGCUGGUGGAGUCCGGAGGGGAUGUGAAAAAGCCCGGAGACUCUCUCCGCCUCUCCUGCAAAGCCUCCGGGUUCACCUUCACCGACUACUGGAUGAGCUGGGUCCGCCAGGCUCCCGGAAAGGGGCUGGAGUGGAUCGGGGAAAUACACCCAACUUCAUCUACCAUCAACUACGCACAGCCCUUCAAGGGACGUUUCACCAUCUCCAGGGACAACCCCAACAACCUGCUGUAUCUGCAACUGACCGGCCUGAAGCCCGAGGACACCGCCCGGUAUCACUGUGCGAGACACGGUGAGGGGAAUCCCGAUACUGCUAAUACAAAAACUCAAGAUGCAGAAUCUUCUUUCUCCCGUGCGCCGCGCGGGGGCAGCACUUCCCCGAACAAUCCAGCCCUGGGCACAGGAACGGGAGCUACAACCAGAGCGAAAAAAUCAUCUCUCGUCAGGUUUGAGAUCUCUGUAUGCAUAUAUGAUCACGUGUCCAUAACAACUGCAACAACUUGA